GAUGAACGCUAGCGGCAGGCCUAACACAUGCAAGUCGAACGGUAACAGAAAAGCUUGCUUUUUGCUGACGAGUGGCGCACGGGUGCGUAACGCGUAUACAACCUACCUUUUACAGGGGGAUAGCCUUUAGAAAUGAAGAUUAAUACCCCAUAGUAUGGUGACUCGGCAUCGAGAUAUCAUUAAAGUUUCGGCGGUAAAAGAUGAGUAUGCGUUCUAUUAGCUAGUAGGUGUGGUAACGGCAUACCUAGGCAACGAUAGAUAGGGGCCCUGGGAGGGGGAUCCCCCACACUGGUACUGAGACACGGACCAGACUCCUACGGGAGGCAGCAGUGAGGAAUAUUGGACAAUGGGGCGAAAGCCUGAUCCAGCCAUGCCGCGUGCAGGAAGACUGCCCUAUGGGUUGUAAACUGCUUUUAUACGGGAAGAAACCCACUACGUGUAGGUGGCUGACGGUACCGUAAG
Molecule: ribosomal RNA, 462 nt
Filed under: uncultured bacterium
Lineage: Bacteria
Description: bacterial SSU rRNA
Rfam family: Bacterial small subunit ribosomal RNA
Source: RNAcentral